RNAcentral lists this ribosomal RNA (576 nucleotides) under uncultured bacterium. RNAcentral's name for it is "bacterial SSU rRNA". It matches the Rfam family "Bacterial small subunit ribosomal RNA", at positions 102 to 674 of the family's 1533-position model. The record is from RNAcentral.
ACGGGUGAGUAAUACAUCGGAACGUAUCCUGGAGUGGGGGAUAGCCCGGCGAAAGCCGGAUUAAUACCGCAUACGCUCUGAGGAGGAAAGCGGGGGACCUUCGGGCCUCGCGCUCAAGGGGCGGCCGAUGGCGGAUUAGGUAGUUGGUGGGGUAAAGGCCUACCAAGCCGACGAUCCGUAGCUGGUCUGAGAGGACGACCAGCCACACUGGGACUGAGACACGGCCCAGACUCCUACGGGAGGCAGCAGUGGGGAAUUUUGGACAAUGGGGGCAACCCUGAUCCAGCAAUGCCGCGUGUGUGAAGAAGGCCUUCGGGUUGUAAAGCACUUUUGUCCGGAAAGAAAUCAUCGGGGCCAAUACCCCUGGUAGAUGACGGUACCGGAAGAAUAAGCACCGGCUAACUACGUGCCAGCAGCCGCGGUAAUACGUAGGGUGCGAGCGUUAAUCGGAAUUACUGGGCGUAAAGCGUGCGCAGGCGGUGCUGUAAGACCGAUGUGAAAUCCCCGGGCUUAACCUGGGAACUGCAUUGGUGACUGCAGCGCUGGAGUAUGGCAGAGGGGGGUGGAAUUCCACGU